GAUGAACGCUGGCGGCGUGCCUAAUACAUGCCAGUCGAGCGAACAGACGAGGAGCUUGCUCCUCUGACGUUAGCGGCGGACGGGUGAGUAACACGUGGAUAACCUACCUAUAAGACUGGGAUAACUUCGGGAAACCGGAGCUAAUACCGGAUAAUAUAUUGAACCGCAUGGUUCAAUAGUGAAAUACGGUUUUGCUGUCACUUAUAGAUGGAUCCGCGCCGCAUUAGCUAGUUGGUAAGGUAACGGCUUACCAAGGCAACGAUGCGUAGCCGACCUGAGAGGGGGAUCGGCCACACUGGAACUGAGACACGGUCCAGACUCCUACGGGAGGCAGCAGUAGGGAAUCUGACGCAAUGGGCGAAAGCCUGACGGAGCAACGCCGCGUGAGUGAUGAAGGUCUUCGGAUCGUAAAACUCUGUUAUUAGGGAAGAACAAAUGUGUAAGUAAAUAUGCACGUCUUGACGGUACCUAAUCAGAAAGCCACGGCUAACUACGUG
RNAcentral lists this ribosomal RNA (497 nucleotides) under uncultured bacterium. RNAcentral describes it as "partial 16S ribosomal RNA". It matches the Rfam family "Bacterial small subunit ribosomal RNA", at positions 28 to 507 of the family's 1533-position model. The record is from RNAcentral.